AUAUAUGCUAAGUGGAAAACGUUGUGAAGGUGCAUAGACAACUAGGAGGUUGGCUCAGAAGCAGCCACCCUUUAAAGAGUGCGUAAUAGCUCACUAGUCGAGUGCUCUUGCGCGGAUAAUGUACCGGGGCUAAGCAUAUUACCGAAACUGUGGAUGCGUAAGCAUGGUAGGAUAGCGUAAUUAACGCGAUGAAGGAUGACCGUAAGGACAUGUUGGAGCGUUAACUAGUGAGAAUUCCGGUAUGAGUAGCGAAAGAUAGGUGAGAAUCCUAUCCACCGAAUGAGUAAGGUUUCCCCCGGAAGGCUCGUCCGCGGGGGGUUAGUCGGGACCUAAGGCGAGGCUGAAAAGCGUAGUCGAUGGACAACAGGUUGAUAUUCCUGUACCGAUAUUUAAUUGCCGAAGGAAGGACGCAGAAGGAUAACACAGGCCACUAUUGGAUGUGGUUUUAAAC
RNAcentral lists this ribosomal RNA (451 nucleotides) under Oenococcus oeni. Its description in RNAcentral is "bacterial LSU rRNA". It matches the Rfam family "Bacterial large subunit ribosomal RNA", at positions 1052 to 1517 of the family's 2925-position model. Lineage: Bacteria; Bacillati; Bacillota; Bacilli; Lactobacillales; Lactobacillaceae. The record is from RNAcentral.